RNAcentral lists this long non-coding RNA (1026 nucleotides) under Homo sapiens (human). Its description in RNAcentral is "HSALNT0378731". Lineage: Eukaryota; Metazoa; Chordata; Mammalia; Primates; Hominidae. The record is from RNAcentral.
GUGACAUUUUUGGUUGUCACAACCGGGGGAGGGGUGCUACUGGCAUUUAGUGGGUAGAGCCAGAGAUGUAGCUAAACAUCCUUCAAAGCACAGGACAGCCCCCUACAACAAAGAAUUAUCCAGCCCCCGAUGCCAAUAGUGUCCAGCUGUGGUUCUGCAGUGCUGUGUUCCUAUACAACCAGCAGGUCUGUCCCCGGAACGGAAGGAAGCUGCUCCCAGCCCAGAUUUUGACUUUCAAUCUUUCCAACAAGCACUGAGCGUGUGGCAUCUACUGGGAGGAUUUGUGCUGAGGGCUGCAAGGGAAUAUGGAUAAAUCAGGCAACGUUUGCAACCUACGGAGGAGGGGGAAACAGAUGUGCAGCUAAUGGUGACUGUAACAAGACACAUGCCGUGGGGAGAGGUUUAAAUGGAGCUUUAGUGGAACGCAGAAGAGGGAACAAUUAAUUUCUAACUCAGCAAAGAUGAUUCAGGGAAGAGCUGGGAGAUGGGAGAGUUGGGCUCAGGAUUUCCUGGGAGACAUCCAGGUGGAAAGAGAGACACUUUCUAGGCAAAGGAAUGAACUGGAUGCUAAGGCAGGGGGGCGGGAGGGAGCCCAGGAGACUGGGAAUUCUGGGCAGGUGUUCUGGGAGGUGGGAAGGCCGCAAUGGGAAGACUGGAACAUGGGAUUGGAAGGAUCAGAGGACACCAAGUUUCAGGAUAAGGACUCUCCUUAUUGGAGAGCAGCAGCAGAUCGCUGAGCAAAGCAACGACAGGAUGAGAGUAUCUUAAACCAACAGUUGGCAAACGUCUUCCUGGAAAGAACCAGACAGACAGUAAAUAUUUCAGGCUUUGCGGGCCAUAUGGUCUCUGCCGCAACUAUUCAACGCUGCCGCUGUGGCAUGAAAGCAGCCGCAGAUGAGACAUAAACAAAUCGGCAUGGCUGUGUUCCAAUAAAACUUUAUUUAUGUUCACUAAAAUCUGAAUUCUCUGUCAUUCUCAUGUGUCAUAAAAUAGUAUUCCUUUUUAACUUUGUCCAAUCAUUGAAAA